RNAcentral lists this ribosomal RNA (484 nucleotides) under uncultured bacterium. RNAcentral's name for it is "partial 16S ribosomal RNA". It matches the Rfam family "Bacterial small subunit ribosomal RNA", at positions 29 to 507 of the family's 1533-position model. The record is from RNAcentral.
AUUGAACGCUGGCGGAAUGCUUUACACAUGCAAGUCGAGCGGCAGCGCGGCCUUCGGGCUGGCGGCGAGCGGCGAACGGGUGAGUAAUGCAUCGGAACAUGCCCAGUCGUGGGGGAUAACACUUCGAAAGAAGUGCUAAUACCGCAUACGUCCUGAGGGGGAAAGCGGGGGAUCGCAAGACCUCGCGCGAUUGGAGUGGCCGAUGUCAGAUUAGCUAGUUGGUGGGGUAAAGGCCUACCAAGGCGGCGAUCUGUAGCUGGUCUGAGAGGAUGAUCAGCCACACUGGGACUGAGACACGGCCCAGACUCCUACGGGAGGCAGCAGUGGGGAAUUUUGGACAAUGGGGGCAACCCUGAUCCAGCCAUUCCGCGUGAGUGAAGAAGGCCUUCGGGUUGUAAAGCUCUUUCGGCAGGAACGAAACGGUGGGCUCUAACAUAGUCCGCUAAUGACGGUACCUGAAGAAGAAGCACCGGCUAACUACGUG